Molecule: ribosomal RNA, 217 nt
Filed under: uncultured bacterium
Lineage: Bacteria
Description: partial 16S ribosomal RNA
Rfam family: Bacterial small subunit ribosomal RNA
Source: RNAcentral
GUACCCACGUUCGGACUGUAGUCUGCAACCCGACUACACGAAGCUGGAAUCGCUAGUAAUCGCGAAUCAGAAUGUCGCGGUGAAUACGUUCCCGGGCCUUGUACACACCGCCCGUCACACCAUGAGAGUCGGGAACACCCGAAGUCCGUAGUCUAACCGCAAGGGGACGCGGCCGAAGGUGGGUUCGAUAAUUGGGGUGAAGUCGUAACAAGGUAGC